CCAAGUAUACACAUCUUAGCUAGUACAAAUAUGAACUGUUUCUAAUCUUCCUGGUUACUCUAGUGCAGCAAGCUAUACAUUUGCGAACUUAAGAAGAAGUUAGCUACAUCAGUCAAAAUGAGCAUGAUAGUUACCAAGUUUGGUCCAUGGGGAGGACCAGGCGGAGAUUAUAGAGACGUUCAGGUGGCUCCUUAUCGGCUCGUUCGCCUAACAAUCCGCAGCGGAGACACCGUCGACGGGAUCUCCUUCACCUACAUCGGCAACGAUGGUCUCGUGUACCACAUGGGUCAUUGGGGUUCCGAUGGUGGUGUUCCGCAUGAGAUUCAUCUCGGCCUUAUGGACUUUGUGAUGGAAAUCUCUGGCACAACGGGCAUGUGGGUCAGUGGAAUGAGUAACGUCCUACGAUCACUCAAGAUCACCACCUUGAAAAGGACUUAUGGGCCAUACGGCAACCCUAAAGCUGGGAUCCCUUUUAGCUUCUCAGUUGAUGGCAGUGAUCGGAUCACUGGCUUUUUCGUACGCGCUGGCUUUAUAACCGAUGCAAUUGGAGUCUAUGUUCGUCACUGCUAGAGUUUUAGGCUAGAAAAAAUACCCAUGCUUUACAACGGGUGAAGGUUAUUUUAUUGUUAUAUGAUUUAGUUAAGGUGAAAUUCACUGUGGGAAUUCACUUGGAUAUAUAUUUUUCUAAAAAAUCAUGAGCUGCAAUUAAGAGUCCGAUCAUCUUAAGUUAGUAUGUGAGUUUUUUUUAAGAAAUAUAUUAUACGACUCCUUCCGUAUUUCCAAAAGCGAACGGGCUUAAAACCCGACUCAAAUACGGAUCUAUAUUUUCAAAAUAAAAUGAACUUAAAAACCAACUCUAUAUAUAGAUGACAUACCAAAGCAAAAAUAUCUUCAAAUUUUAUAUUACUAUAGAUAAUGAAAUGAAUCUCGAUCUUUGCCGCACUGAAAAGCUACAGCCGCUGCUAGCUACAUAGUUAUCCACAUUUUCAAAGAUAAGUUUUUUACUCGAUUAAUUUCUCAGUGCCUCUAGCCGGGUGGGUGCCGGAAGUAGUUUCUACCCAUGUAGUGAUGUAGACAUACCAGCAUGCAAGGACAAUAUUGGUUCUCCAACAAUUAUAGUUCAAUAGAUUUAAGUGAAAUGUAAUAAACAGUGCGACAAUAUA
RNAcentral lists this long non-coding RNA (1163 nucleotides) under Oryza sativa tropical japonica subgroup. RNAcentral describes it as "lncRNA OsCMeo_04g0007220". The record is from RNAcentral. Lineage: Eukaryota; Viridiplantae; Streptophyta; Magnoliopsida; Poales; Poaceae.